Molecule: ribosomal RNA, 544 nt
Filed under: Salmonella enterica
Lineage: Bacteria; Pseudomonadati; Pseudomonadota; Gammaproteobacteria; Enterobacterales; Enterobacteriaceae
Also listed under: 1 other name
Description: bacterial SSU rRNA
Rfam family: Bacterial small subunit ribosomal RNA
Source: RNAcentral
AAAUUGAAGAGUUUGAUCAUGGCUCAGAUUGAACGCUGGCGGCAGGCCUAACACAUGCAAGUCGAACGGUAACAGGAAGCAGCUUGCUGCUUUGCUGACGAGUGGCGGACGGGUGAGUAAUGUCUGGGAAACUGCCUGAUGGAGGGGGAUAACUACUGGAAACGGUGGCUAAUACCGCAUAACGUCGCAAGACCAAAGAGGGGGACCUUCGGGCCUCUUGCCAUCAGAUGUGCCCAGAUGGGAUUAGCUUGUUGGUGAGGUAACGGCUCACCAAGGCGACGAUCCCUAGCUGGUCUGAGAGGAUGACCAGCCACACUGGAACUGAGACACGGUCCAGACUCCUACGGGAGGCAGCAGUGGGGAAUAUUGCACAAUGGGCGCAAGCCUGAUGCAGCCAUGCCGCGUGUAUGAAGAAGGCCUUCGGGUUGUAAAGUACUUUCAGCGGGGAGGAAGGUGUUGCGGUUAAUAACCGCAGCAAUUGACGUUACCCGCAGAAGAAGCACCGGCUAACUCCGUGCCAGCAGCCGCGGUAAUACGGAGGGUG